Molecule: small nucleolar RNA, 79 nt
Organism: Lachancea thermotolerans CBS 6340
Lineage: Eukaryota; Fungi; Ascomycota; Saccharomycetes; Saccharomycetales; Saccharomycetaceae
Source: RefSeq, a predicted model, not a curated record
GCAGAGGAUGAUAUUCAAGAAACUAAAGACAAGCAUAUGUCUGAAUUUUUAUUGAAGAAAAGUUUCCAACGUCUGAUGC